GCUCCUGUCGUUCAACGGAUAGGACAACAGCCUUCGAAGCUGUAUAUGGGGGUUCGAUUCCCUCCGGGAGCACCA
This 75-nucleotide transfer RNA is filed under the name Candidatus Magasanikbacteria bacterium RIFCSPHIGHO2_01_FULL_41_23. RNAcentral's name for it is "tRNA-Arg". It matches the Rfam family "tRNA". From Rfam's summary of the family: Transfer RNA (tRNA) molecules are approximately 80 nucleotides in length. Their secondary structure includes four short double-helical elements and three loops (D, anti-codon, and T loops). RNAcentral also lists the same sequence under 3 other names. The record is from RNAcentral. Lineage: Bacteria; Candidatus Magasanikiibacteriota.